AAUUAUGAAUUACCAUGAACACGCCCGAUCUCGUCUGAUCUCAGAAGCUAAGCAUGGUCGGGCCUGGUUAAUACUUGGAUGGGAGAUCGCCUGGGAAUACCGGGUUCUGUAAGUA
Molecule: ribosomal RNA, 115 nt
Organism: Gadus morhua (Atlantic cod)
Lineage: Eukaryota; Metazoa; Chordata; Actinopteri; Gadiformes; Gadidae
Source: Ensembl